Molecule: RNA transcript, 1438 nt
Organism: Aegilops tauschii subsp. strangulata
Lineage: Eukaryota; Viridiplantae; Streptophyta; Magnoliopsida; Poales; Poaceae
Source: RefSeq, a predicted model, not a curated record
AGAUUAUUAAGGCGGAUGCUCUCAGUCCCCAUCCAGCAAAUUUGAGCCCAUAGCCGAGUCGCACCAGGGAAUUCUUCCCGUCCAUGGCCAUGAGGGUCGACUCGGCAAUCCUCGCCGUCGUCGUCGCCUUCCUCCUCCCCCUCCGCCUGCUCUCCCUCUGCGCCCGCCUGAACUCCUCCGGUAGCGCAGGCGACCUCCGCCGAUCCUGCUCCGCCCUCGCCAUCGCGGCCGCGCUCCUAGCCACCUUCUUCGCCCUACCCCGCCACGACGGCGGUCGCACGGGGCAGUGCGCCGCCUCCGUUGGUUCCCCUUGGGAGGAGGGCACCGGUCGAGAGGUUCGGUUGGAGAUCGAGCAGCUGAAGCUGCAGCUCUACCGAUUGGAAUCAUUGUGGGAAAACAAAUCAAAAGCACCAGAUGACAAAGGUGAUGCUUCAGAGGAAGAUGCCGAGUUUGUGAAAGCGAUGGGACUGGACAUUCAGGCUCUGAUCAAGGAACAGGAAAACAUUAAGGAAUCAUUAUGGAGUUCUGGCGGCACUAUCAAAUCUGUCGAAAAUGAGGUACGAAUUCUGGCGGCAGAAUCCAGAAAGAUGAACUCUGAUAUUUACAAUGUGUGGUCAUUGGCCAACGAUACGGAGAAAACGGUUGAAGCUCUACAUUCAGAUGUCCAAAAGGCUCAAAUUAUAAUGGAUGAAUCAAGGAAGAUGAACUCUAAUGCUCACCAGAUAUGGUCAUUGGCAAAGGAUACAGCAAAAAAGGUCGAAUCUCUGUAUACAGAUGUUGCAAAGUUGCCACAUAGUUAUCUUGCUAGAAGGUUUUAUUUGGAACUAUUCAUGGGUAUUAUACAGUACAUGGACUUGCAUGUGGUUAGACUGCGGAGAACUAGAAUUUGCAACUAAUUGUGGGUGCAGGUUCAAAGUGUAAUUGAUAUAUCAAAAAAGAUGGAAUCUAAUAUACACAAAGCAUGGUCUUAUGCAAAGCAGACAGAGAAGAGGGUUGAAGAUAUAUGUUCAGAUGUCAAAAAGGGCUUCAAGAAGAAGGCCUGGAUGAGCUGAUAGCGCCGUCGACUUGACAGGCUAGCAUUGGCCUGGGCCUGGAGUAAUGUACUCCCUCCGUCCCAAAAUUCUUGUCUUAGAUUUGUUUAAAUACGGAUGUAUCAAAUCACGUUUUAGUAUUUUAGAUAUAUCCGUAUCUAGAUGAAUCUAAGACAAGAAUUUUAGGACGGAGGGAGUAGUAGAGAAGCCACCCGGCCUUGCAUCUGCGAACCUGUAAUGCCCCUUGAUAUUGUAUGACACGUUUACGGUUGUGUCGUGCGCGUUGUGGACACGAUCAUGCUGUGUUUCGGAUCUGACUCACUCGCUUCCUGUUUCUGUGCCGUCAUGGUAAUGUAUAUAUUGAUGAUGUGCAGCGGUAAUGCAAUAACAUGCGACUUUCAGGACUC